AUACUUACCUGGCAGAGACGAUACGCUGAUCCCGAACGGCGUCCGUCCAGGGCGAGGCCCGACCAUUGCACUGACGGUCUGGGCUGACCCCUGCGAUUACCCCAAACGCGGGUAACUCGGCUGCGCAAUUUCUGAUAGUGGGGGUCUGCGUUCGCGCUUACCCCGU
Branchiostoma floridae (Florida lancelet) is the source of this 166-nucleotide non-coding RNA. The record is from Rfam. Lineage: Eukaryota; Metazoa; Chordata; Leptocardii; Amphioxiformes; Branchiostomatidae.